Molecule: long non-coding RNA, 23549 nt
Filed under: Malus domestica (apple)
Lineage: Eukaryota; Viridiplantae; Streptophyta; Magnoliopsida; Rosales; Rosaceae
Description: long non-coding RNA (MDOM_LNC006275)
Source: RNAcentral
UCGAAAGAAGGACAUAGCCUUCUAUUCUUUUGAAGUUGAAAGUCGUCCUAUUGAAAUUGAACCCUUGGGAAACAAUGAAGCUUGGGAGCUCUUUAGCAAGAAAGCAUUCUCAACUUACGAUAAUAAAUCUUGUCCACCAGAGCUUGAAUCCUUAGCAUGGAAACUUGUGGAUGAAGGCCUACCUCUGGCAGUGGUAACUUUAGGUGGUCUAAUGUCUUCCAAGAGGUCAUCAUCGGAAUGGAGAAGCGUAUAUAACAGCUUAAAUUGGCACUUGACUAACCAUCCUAUGCUGGAACCAAUGAGCAGCAUCUUGUUGCUUAGUUUCAACAAUUUGCCCAACCGGUUGAAGCCAUGUUUCUUAUAUUGUGCCCUUUUCCCAGAAGAUUAUCUCAUCAAAAGAAAAAGGUUGAUCAGGUUGUGGAUAGCUGAAGGGUUUGUUGAACCAAUUGAUGGGGUCACACCAGAAGAAGUUGCAGAGGGUUAUCUUGUGGAACUUAUUGUUCGUAGCAUGCUACAAGUUGAAAAGAAUGAAGCUGGAGGACUAAGAGCAUGUAAGAUGCAUGAUCUUGUGCGUGAGCUUGCUUUGUCGAUAUCAAAAAAGGAAAAGUUCGGUGCUACGUGUGCUGGCAGAGAAAUAGUAGAUAAAGCUGAAAUCCGCCGAUUGUCAAUUCAAACAACUGAAAGAGAAAUUAAUUCUUGCACAGGUAUGUCAGAGCUUCGCUCCUUUCUUGUCUUUGGCGCGUUAAAGAAAUUGCCUUCUGGAUUCAAGUUGUUGAGAGUUCUAGAUCUGGAGGGGAUAAGUUUGAGAAACAAACUUUCCUUAGUAAGCGUCUGGUGGAGUUCGCUGCGCGGACAUCGCUCUUGUCGCCGACGCCAGCAGUGCACAGUCUAAGCUGAUUUAUUGACGUUGGGAUUGGCCGUGACCAACAUAUUAGCUAAAAUCUAUAUCUAAGGUGAAUCGGGAAGGUGUCGAAUGCGAGCAGAUGUGUUGGAAUCUCCCUCAGACUCUACUAUCUGAGUUAUUGUGGCAUUCUUUUCUCACAAAAGAAAAAGGUUUGUGAGAGUCUUGGAACUCAGUAAGGUGCCUUGUACCUGUUCGACGAAUUGCCCCAGUCAAUCUGAAAGCUCUCUUCGGUACUAGCACCUCCUCCUGCCGGAAGCUUGAUCUGGCUCUGGUUGUUUGGUUGAGGUGCCUUGUACCUGCUCGACGAAUUGCUCCAGAGAAUCUGUUUUUUUUUUUUUUUUUCUCAGGGUGCCCAAGGUUUUCUGCGUUCAACCUUGCUUUAAGGUGUUGACAACUCUAAACUGAAUUAUCAUGGGCACAAAUAUCGUUUGUCCAUGGGGUUUUCUUGCAGAGACGGUUAUGCUGACAACUAAUAUGCCCCCCGCUCAACCAAUUCUGAAGGCAAGGACUUUUGCUUCUGUGGUUUCCAUCCCAAUUGAAGACGUCCAUCUCAGCUAACUUCCAACUCCGGUUGUGCGUGGGGACAAAACAUAUGUCAAAAUUAGCGAGGAUCUAUACCAAGAACAGUUGAAGUUGUUUCAAAAUAAUCUCCUUGGGCGUUUGCUCCUAAAAAAGGGUUCUACGCCAAUGAAGACCGGUGCCCUAAAAUCUUGCUUAGAAGAUGCAUGGCGCCCUACUGCACCAUGGAACCUGGUUCCUAUAGGUAAAGGUUAUUUUGAUAUCCAUUUCAAUAAGGAAGAUGAUAUGCGACGGGCAUGGGGUGGCGGUACGUGUACUCUUGCUACUGGUUUAUUCAGGUUAUCAAAAUGGACGCCAGAUUUUUAAACCAGGUGAUGUUCUCCCUCAAACUCAUGCUCAGGUAUGGAUCAAAAUUUUUGGUUUGAGUCAGGAAUAUUGGCAUCCUAGACACUUGAUGGAAAUUGCGAGAGGGGUCGGCACUCCCUUGCAACUAGAUUCAGCUACAAGGGAAAGGCAAUAUGGUUAUUAUGCACGUAUAUUAGUUGAUGUGUCAAUCUUUGCAGAUGAUUUACCUACAUCUCUUAUGGUUGAAAGAGAAAAGUCAUGGCUUCCCGGUUGAGGUGGUUUAUGAAAAUUUACCGCCCAAAUGUAGUCACUGUGGUUUGAUAGGGCACUUGGCUAAUUGUUGCAGACAACUUAAACAGAUGUCGAGAGGUCGUUCUCGUAGCCGGACGCGAAAGGGUGGUAACAUGGGGGACAACAAAACCGGAGAUCACUCUCGCAGUCAACUGCACAUGGAAUAUCGUCCCAUAAAAGAUACAACAAUACCGGUUAAUGUCUUUUGUGGGUCACAUGCUUCUGAACCUCUUCAACAGGUUGAUCAAUUGUUGCCUGCAGGUAUUGAGGCAGCGGAUGAUGGCAAUGCUGAGCCCAUUCUUCAGUCUCCUCUUGGAAUAACGCCAACUGUUUCUGGUAAUGUCAUACCAGAGACUGACACCGCUGAUACGCAUAUUAGUAUUCAAUCUCCUGGGAUUUCGCAUAUUAGCAAUUCUAUGACCGAAUCGCUGUCUCCAGAUGGAUCACAUCCUCAGAAUGGUCUUUCUUAUGGUCAGCAUUUGGGCAACACCAUUGUCCCAAACAAUCUUGGCCCACAUGAUCUCUGUGACGACUCUAGCACUCCUCCUGGCUUUGAACAGGUCGAGACGGUAGCUCAGAGUAGUCAGCAGUUGGGCAACACAGAUGUCCCAAAUAAUUUUGGCAUGCAGGAUCCUCAUGACAACCAUAGCAUUCCCCCUGGUUUUGAACAUGUUGCGACAUUAGCUAAGGAUGUCAUCGAUAUUGUCAAUCACAUAGAAGGCUGUGAUAUGGAUGGUUUUACUCCUGUGUUAUCUAAUAGUCAACGGAAAAAACAAAAGCAGCUUGCCAAUCUUAAUCAACCCUCUGAUAAACCAUAUCCAAGUAGGGUCUGAGGAAUACCAGCUCGUUAUAAAUGAAGGUUCUCUUCUGGAAUAUCCGUGGCAUUGGUAAUGAUGACUCUCGGAUGGAGCUCUCUAACAUCUGUCGGUUGCAUCACCCGAAUUUGGUUUGCAUUGCGAAGCCCAUGGUGACUUUUAAUUCUAUUUCAGCUGCUUAUUGGGACUCUUUAAAUCUAUCUGCUCUUACUUUUAAUUCUAGAGGAACUCUUGCUCCCAACCUUUGGUUACUAACAUCUUCGGCUUGUGCAGACCCUUUAGUUAUUUCUAUCUCUGAUCAACAGGUUACGGUUCGCUGUACUUUUGACCAUAUCCCAAGCCAGUUCACAUUUGUUUAUGCAAGCACUUCACCUAUCAAAAGAAGAGACUUGUGGGCUGAUUUUAUCUCUCUGCGCCCACAACACAAGUUCCAUGGAUGGCUAUUGGCGAUUUCAACGCUAUCCUGGGCGCCCACGAGUAGAUGGGAGGAGGCAGACCGUCCCAACCUUCAUGCGCUCAGUUUAGUAAUAUAUCUGACACUUGUAACUUUACCCACUUGAACACAUCUGGGGCAGCCUUUACAUGGUCUAAUGGCUGGAGGUCACGUGGUCGCACUGAAAGAAGGUUAGAUCGCUCCUUGUGUGAUAUAAGCUGGUUUGAUUCUUGGCCCCACUCUAAAUGCAUAGCAUUGCCAAAGGUAGUCUCAGAUCACAACCCCCUUAUCUUCUCUGGUUCUAGAGUUUUGAGCAGUGGUCAUCGUCCUUUCCGUUUUCAAUCAAUGUGGGUUCAACAUCCAUCUUUUCGAGAAACUGUAACUCAUUGCUGGAGAAAUACAGUUGUCUAUGGUUGUCCUAUGUUUAUCAUUCUGCAAAAAUUGAAAGCUCUAAAAACCUGCUUGCGCCAAUGGAAUUUUUCGGUCUUUGGUGACGUCCAUAAUAGAGUGGCUAAUGCUCGGCAUAAUCUUUCUAUGAUUCAACAAAGAAUUUCAACUGAGGGUAUAAAUAACGAUCUUUUCGAGGAGGAGAUUGUCGCCAAGACCACAGUAAUGGAGUCUCUUCAAAUGCAGGAGGCAUUUUGGAAAGAUAGAGCUCGUGUUAAGUGGUUAACUAAAGGGGAUAGAAAUUCUUCUUUCUUUCAUGCCUAUGCUCGUAUUAAAUCUUCCAGCUCUCAUAUCAGUUGUAUUCAUGAUGGAAACAAUCUUCUUACUGACCCGCUGGCAAUUGAGAACCAUAUUGUUAAUUUCUAUCAGACUUUGUUCGGCUCCUCUUUCACCCCUUCAGGUAUUGAUGAGGUUUGUGAAGUCAUCCAGCCGAUGGUCACAGACUCUGAAAAUGAUCUCUUAUCUGCAUUACCUACUGAUGAGGAAAUUAAAGAGGCAGUUUUCUCAUUAAGUGCUUCCAGUGCGCCAGGGCCAGAUGGUUUUCCAGGUUUUUUCUAUCACCACUGUUGGGAUAUUGUCAGCUUUGAUGUUAUUCAAUUUGUGAAGCAAUUCUUUCAAUCAAAUUGGUUAUACCCCAAUGCCAAUAGUAAUUUCUUAGUUUUGAUUCCGAAGGUGGAAGACGCUAUUUCCAUGACUCAUUUUAGACCUAUUGCUUUGGCAAACUUUCUCUUUAAGAUUAUUCCCAAAAUUUUGGCAGUUCGUCUUUCUCAUGUUGUUCAACGCAUUAUUUCUCCGCAUCAAGCUGCUUUUAUACCUGGCCGAUGUAUCACAGAUUGUAUUGGCCUUGUUUCAGAAUGUUUCAAUGUGCUUGACAAAAAAACUCGUGGUGGCAAUAUGGGAGUCAAAGUUGAUAUAGCUAAGGCUUGUGAUACUUUAGAUUGGUCAUUUCUAUUGCGGGUGCUUACUAACUUUGGGUUCUCCACUUGUUUUAUAGACUGGGUUUCUACCAUCUUAAGAUCUGCUAAAUUGUCCAUCCUAAUUAAUGGUUCCCCACAUGGUUUUUUCUCUUGUUCCCGAGGAGUGCGCCAAGGGGAUCCUCUCUCUCCGUUACUUUUCUGUCUAGCUGAGGAGGCUUUAUCAAGGGGCCUGAGUCGUCUUCAACUUGAUGGGCUUACUAAGCCAACUUUUGCUCCAAGAUGUUGUAUCUCUCCUUCUCACGUUCUCUAUGCAGAUGACUUAUUCAUUUUCUGUAGAAGUGAUGGUGUCACUCUGCGUAAUUUGCAAGGUUUCUUCGAUAGAUAUAGUAGAGCCUCUGGUCAAUUUAUCAAUAAGGCAAAAAGUACUUUCUACUUGGGCUCUACCUCAAGGCAUCGCAAAGCUGUGGUUGAGAGUUACUUGGGUUUCAAAGAAGGCAAAGCACCUUUUGUCUACCUUAGAGUUCCAAUCUUCUGUGGCAAGCCUAAAAGGAGUCAUCUUCAAGCCUUGGCAGAUAAAGCUAAAGCGAAGUUAACUGGUUGGAAGGGGAAACUUUUAUCUAUGGCAGGAAGAGUUCAACUCACUCAAUCAGUUUUUCAAAGUAUGCUCUUGCAUAGCUUUUCCGUCUAUAAGUGGCCUUCUUCCUUGCUAAGGCCUCUUUCAAGAUGUGCUCGCAAUUUUAUAUGGUCUGGUGACGUAACCUCCAAGAAGUCUGUUACCGUUUCUUGGCGUCAGAUUUGUGCUCCGAAGAAUGAAGGUGGUUUGGGUUUGCGUGAUCUUGGCCUCUCUUAAACACUACUGCUCUCUUAAAGCUUGGAUGGCUUAUUAUUACUACUGAUUCCCCUUGGAGUAUUUAUCUUCGGGAACGUUUCAAGCUACAUGGUCGCCUAUAUUCUUGUAGUUAUAAGCGAUCUUCUAUAUGGCCUGGUAUUAAAUCCAUUCUUCAUAUCUUGUUUCAGAAUUGUCGUUGGGUGAUUGGAAAUGGUUCUACUACUUCCCUUUGGGUUGAUAAAUGGCUGGAUAAGCCUAUUGUGGACGUCGUUGGUGCAACAGAGAUUGCUCCAUCUUUAUCUCGUACUAAGGUCUCAAAUAUUAUUCGUAUGGGAAAAUGGGUUAUUCCUUCUUUUUUUUCUUCUACUUUCCUAUACCUAACUAAUGAGAUUUUAGAAAUGCCUCUUCCAAUUGAUGAGGAUAAGGACGUUUUAAUUUGGGAAGUUUCUACAUCUGGUGUUUUUUCGUUCUCCGAUGGCUAUGAAAUUGUUCGUCAUCGGUUCCCUGUUAAGAGUUGGGCUUCCACUAUCUGGCGUCCUUUCAUCCCACCUCGUUACUCUAUUUUAGUUUGGAAGAUUCUAUUCAACAAGCUCCCAACGGAGGAUCAACUUCAGCGCCGAGGCAUCCCGCUGGCUCCAAUAUGCCAACUAUGUCACAAGAAUUCUGAAUCUAUUGAUCACUUAUUUUCUAGCUGUGAAUUUGCACAAUGUGCUUGGCGUUGGCUAGCUACCCAAUUUGGCACUAUUAUUCCACCUACGGGCUCCCUCUCUGAUCUUUGGCUUGUUUUUCUGUCAAAGCGGUUUUCUCCUCAUCUUCGCAAUGUCUGGCUAGCUUCAGGGUUUUUCUUACUAAUGGCCAUUUGGAAGAUGCGUAAUAAAGUGAAGUUUGAAGGCAAACCUCCCUCCUUCUCACGUCUAUGCCGCUCUACCUCGGCCUGGAUUAGGCAGGUUGGAGCUCUCACCCCUGGCCAUGUACGAGGCAUUUUGGAUAGGCAACUUUUAGUUUCUCUUGGAAUAUCGCCUAACUCCUGUAAAGCUCCUUCUAUUGUCCCUGUUCUUUGGCACCCCCCUCCUUUUUCUUGGGUUAAAGUGAAUACUGAUGGCCUUGCUAAAGGUAAUCUGGGUCCUGCGGCAUGUGGCGGGGUUUUUCGUGACUCUGCAGGUUAUUUUCUUGGUGGUUUCUCCCUAAGCUUGGGCCAUCGUACUUCUUUCUAUGCGGAGCUCCAUGCUGUCAUCCUUGCUGUCGAAUUGGCCCACGCGCGGGGCUGGCAAAAUUUAUGGCUUGAAAGCGACUCUUCUAGUGUAAUAUCAUGUUUUGCUUCUGGAUCUUUCUCUCCCCCUUGGUCACUCCAGACACGCUGGAACAAUUGUACUCUCCAUUUGCAGAACAUGGUCUUUCGUUGCUCUCAUAUUUUUCGAGAAGGGAAUGUUGUUGCUGACAAAUUAGCCAAUUUAGGGCUUCUAUCAUCUUCACUUGUUUGGCACUCCACUCCCCCUAUAGAGAUCCUUCCUCCUCUGCACUCAGAUUUCUUGGGCAUGCCAACCUACAGGUUUGUCUCCUCUUCUUGAUGUGUGUUCUCCUUUCUUUUCCUAACCUUUUUGGAUUCCCUUUUGUUUUGCAGCUUGUCUUGCAGGUUAUUACCUUUUAGGUUUUUAGAGGGGUUUGGGCUUAUGCCCGCCCAGUCUUUUCCUUGUAUUUUCUUUUCCAAGAGGGGUACGGUCUAUGUCCCCCCCUCUUUUGUAUUUCCUUUCUCAAAAGGGGUAAGGUGCAUGUCCCCACCUUUUUUGUAUUUCUUUUCUCUUGUUCUAUGAGGGGUUAGGUUUAUGUCCCCCCCUGUCUAGGUGUAUCUUCUUUUUUCUUAUCAAUAAAUUUCCCUCGUACCGCCGAGGUUCUCCAAAAAAAAAAAAAAAAAAAAAAAAAAAAAGAUCUGGAGGGUGCCCCAAUUGAUAGAUUUCCAGAUGAACUAGUGUACUUGUUCGACUUAAGAUAUUUAAAUUUGAAGGGAACUUUAAUUGAGGAGCUCCCGGAAUCCAUCGGACGGCUUCGCAACCUUCAAACCUUGAACAUCCGUGACCGUAAGAUAAAGGCACUUCCGAAAGCAAUCUCCAAGUUAGUAAACCUACACCAUCUAAUCAUGUAUUGUAACACUCUUGAUUUUACGGCCUUUAGAUAUCUCAAUGGGACAAAAGCAGCAUCUGAUCUAAGUAAAUUACAGAGACUGCAAGUUUUGUCAGCUGUUGAAUCAGAAGGAAAGUUUAUUAAAGGCAUCAGGAAUAUGACCCAACUUACAAGCCUCGGUAUUACAAAUGUGAAAGCAAGUGACGAGAUGGACCUCUGUGACUCCCUUCAAAAGUUAGAGCUCCUUCACGAUUUGUCUUGAAUGGCAAGUGAUGCAGAGGAGUUUCUUCGAGUUAAUGCACUACGUUCGCCUCCUCCAGACCUUCAAAAGGUUAAUUUGACCGGAAAACUAAAAGUACCUCUUUGGUUUAGUUCACUCCAUAACCUGACACGUAUGUAUCUAUUUUGGUCUAGACUUGAAGAAGAUGUGCUACCUCACAUUCAAGCAUUGCCGAAUCUUGAACAUCUUACCCUAUCUAAUGCAUAUGUUGGCGAAAAAUUGUGUUUCUCUAGAGGCUUCAUAAACCUUAAGCAUUUGGAGUUGGCCUGCUUCCCGGUAUUGAAUAGUAUAGCUAUAGAGAAAGGGGCGAUGCCAAAUCUCCAGUUCUUAGACAUUUAUUACUGCAUGGGGUUGAAGACAUUGCCACAGGGCAUUGAGUUCCUUGCCAACGUAGAACGCUUGAUUCUGUAUUCCGUUCCAAUGCAACUUAUAGAGUCCGUAAGAGGAGGCAUGGAUCAUCCAAAGGUACAACACAUUCCUGAAAUCCACCUGUAUUAUGAGAGAGAAAAUAUGGAGUGUCAUGAAAGUUUUUUCGGUAUUCACUCUCGUAGAAGGUACGCACACUUUUAUCCUUACAUAAAAAUUUGAUUAAUGCUAGAUUUACCACAUUUUUUGUAUCACAUUUGUACCACCUUUUUUUAUAGAGGUAUGGCCCAUUGACAUAUGUAGGUCUUAUUUUUAUUAGAGAUGUGGUAUAAAUGUGCUAUGAAAAUGUGGUAAAAGUAGCAUUUUUGUAAAAACCACAACAUAAUCAUUUGAACUAUUACGUUAGAAAGUUAAAAAGUUGGUGAUUUUCACACUCCUAUUUUUUUUUUCCUUAUACGCUCCUCUUGUUUUUGUUCGUUAGUGUUUUGAUUUAUUCAAUUGUUAGGCUACGAAAAAGAGGAAAUAGUGCAUCAGAGUGUAAAAAUCAUUUUCCCUUACAAUUUGCUUGUCCAAUCUUAUAUAGAAGUCUGGCAAAGACAUAAAAUAUGCAUGCAUUGAGAUUUUAUUCAGUAACUAUGUUUCUUUUGUUUUGUAACAUCCUUUUUGCAUAAUCAAGCCUCAGAAGCACUUGUGAGACUGCAGCACUUGUGAGACUGCAUUGAGUUCUCUUUUGUCCCAGUUGAUUUUACGGUGAAUCUUGACUUUCGUUAUAGUAACAGAGAUGACUAUAUACAUGUUGAGUCAUUUGCCCUGCAAGGAAGAAUCCGUCCAUUGUGUGUUGUGGGAAGUUGCAAACAUUGAUCGAUCUUGGUUUCUUAUUUGUCCUUUGUGAAAUGGAAUAAUGCCCAAGAUUCUAUUUGUGUAACUGAAACUUAUAUUAUUGAUUGCUUGCGUGUGUUUUGAUGUAAUAAUAUUGGUUUGGAACUGAAUUUGUCACUGAUGAGAAUAAUGCUUAAGAUACUGUUUGUGUAACAGGAACUUAUAUUAUUGUUUGAUUGCGUGUAUUUUGAUAAUAAUAUUGGUUUGGAACUGAAUCUGUCAUUGAUGAGACCAAUUCUAACUAAACCAAUGAUUAUGACCCAUUUUUCAUUUUCAAUAUUUAUUGCUUUUUAUCAAGUUUUCAAAUAUAUAUUGUUUUAGGUAGGCAAAUUUUGUGGCGGAUGUUUUAGCUUACUUUGGUUUUACCUGAGAAAUUAUUAAAUGGUACGGUAUUACCACGUUGGCCGGUAAUACUUUUAUUCAAAUUUUAACAUGUGUGCAGUUUCUUAUAGGCUUACAGCUGGAUUAAAAAGCUUUCUUAAUUUAAAACUAAUUUUUUUUUUCAAUUUAACCAAAAUUAAAAGAACUAAAAAUAAGAGGCGUUUUGACACAAAUGCCUAGGGUUUAGCUUUUAAAAUUUUGAGAUAAGACCAUCUCCAAUCGAAGGGUCCAGAGGGUCGAAAAUAGUCUGAAAACCGUCUCCAACCGAGGACUAGGCCAAAGGGCUUGUGGGCCCCACUAAACAAAAAAAGGCCAAAAGGCUAACCGAUUGGCCCAACCCAGCCAGCCAACCCCGGGCCGAGCCAGAAAUUUGAAUGCAACAACUAGCUAACAUCAGCUAGCCAUUAUAUUUGAAUUUUUUUUUUGGGCCAAAAUUUUUUAAAAAAUAUUUAAUUAUAGGCCUAGAAAGUUGAUUAGUUCAAUGUUGGGUGUUUGGAUGUUCCUUUUAUAAGCAUGUUUGGUUGCUCAAAUCUCUCCCAUGGACGAUGUGGGACAAAUAUAAUGGGUGCCACACAUGCAAGCUUUUGCUUGCUUAAAUCUCUCUCACAAACGAUGUGGGACAAAUAUAAUGGAUAGUUUUUAAAUUUAAGUUGUUGUAGUUUUUAAAUUUAAAUAAUAAAUUAUGUUUGGUCCUAUGACCCUUUGGUUCUCGAUUGGAGAUGUUUUUUUGUCACAUGACUAUGUUUGAUCCUCUGACCCUCGGUUGAAGAUGAUACAAAAUAUAACCAUGCACUGUUCAUUAAAGUAUUAAUUUCUUGGACGGACAGACGGAGAUGACAUAACCUUUUUUCCUCCCCUCCCUAUUCUCUCCCAUGGCGACUGCCGUGCUGCCAGUAUCCGAGCCCGCGAGACAGCAACCCUGACCAGGUCGGGGCAGAUUCGAGGCCCAUGGACUAUCAGAAGAAGAGGCCCGCGUUUGAGUCAUCACCGAAAUCGUCAGCUCCAUGGUCGACCUCUCCCGGAAAGGCCAAAACGUCUACCUAAACGCCCUCAAGACCUCCGCGUGCCGCAAGUACGGCAUCUCACGUGCGCCGAAGCUGGUCGAAAUGAUUGCGGCUCUACAGGAGUCAGACCGUGAGGCUCUUCUUCCCAAGCUCUGGGCCAAGUCGGUCCCAACCGCUUCGGGUAUCGCCAUUAUCGUGAUGUCGAAGCGUCAUCGGUGUCCCCACAUCACCACCACCGAGAAUAUUUGCGUGUACUGCCCCAGCGGUCCCGAUUCGGACUUCGAGUACAGCACUCAAUCUUACACUGGAUACGAGCCUACUAGCAUGCGCGCAAUAUUCCUGAUAGAGUAAUAUGAAGAUACUCGCCAGGUAUUCGUUCUUCAUAUGUGAGAGAGUGCUUCGUUACAUGAAAUGAUCAUUCUAUUCUUGUCAUGUGCAAAAGUGUUGAGCUGAUGGAAGAUAAACACUUAAAAAGAUUAUGAUUGUAAUAUUGAGUAGAAUAUCUAAUUUAAUUUCGCUUCAGCAUAUAUAGAUGAAUUAAGGAUCUCACUUUUCCAGAACUUCUUGUUUCUCUUAUUUGCGUAGUAAUUUGUGCAUGGGUUUUACCGAUCGAGCAGGUUGUCUAUACUGACACUUACCAUGAUUUGUUUUUGUUCUUUUUGUAAACAGGAUAUUCUAGCUGGGUUACCGCGAUUAAGAAAGUGUGGCCGGAACACUACUUGUCCCGAACUCAUAGGAAAGUGUUCUAUUGUUCGUGAACUCCACGUUCAUGGGACUGCUGUUCCAGUUCAUGGGUGGUGGUAUCCACACUUCUCUUUUAUCUUUCUCUUUCCUCUUAAUUUCCAUCUGUCAGAUCGAAUGUAUAAAAAAAGAUUAAAUGAUAGAAAUUAACAGAAAGUGUAGGAGGUAAAAACGAGUGUGUCAAUAUCAACACCCUUUUUAGAUUGUUGUAAAUGUCAUCCAUUGAUUCACCUGGCUGGCUCACUUUCGUACAUUUUUGUUCGUUUGGUCUACUUUUGUGACGCAAAAAUCUUAAAAAAAGAAGGAAAAAUACAGAUAUAAAAAAUUACAGACAAUCCUUGCAAAACUGCAAUGGAAAAUAAGCCAGAAGAUUGAAACUAUGGCACAGUUCAUUCUUUAUAGCAAAAUCUACUGCAAUAAGAGACUGAGACCUUACCUUUCCUCCUCUAGGAAAAAGCUUCCGUUUCCCCGAGCAAGUAUGAGCAUGACAAAAUUGGUGCAAGAAAAACUCUACCAACAAAUCAAGGUGUAAGGACAAGUAUAAAAACAAUAACCUAUCUGAAAUUAUAUCAACAAGAGCAAAAAGAAAUACCAUUAAGACGGCGGGCUGAAGGACUUUGAUUAAUCGGAAAACAGCUAUUGGCAAGACCCUACAUUAUAAAAGGGGAAAAAGUAAAAAGGAUUAAACAAGGUAACGUACAAGAAUCAACAAUACAACCAAUUAUAGUGCCUUAAAGCAACCUCACAUAGGUGGUGAUUCCGUGCAACAGAUGCAGGAUUGCAUUUGGUUUUGCUCGACUUGGUAUUCAUCACAGCAUCGCAAUGCAAAGCUCCGCAUAAAUCAGCUAAGCACUUGCUGCCACUCGGCAUUCAUCAAUUUUUUUUCAAAGAGCAAAAGAGAAACCAUAUGACGGAAACAAAAAUCAUACAUACGAUUAAAGAUAUAAUAGAAAAGAUAGAGAUCAAAUAAAUUUAUAAUCAUCUAUUGAUGUAUAAUGCAAGUAUGAUUGAAGCAGACGCAGAAUAGCUCUUUGGGCUUUGAAACAACUCCAGAUGCUAACUACCCUUCCCCCGGAGUACCAAGGUACAAAAUACACAUCUUAAGGAAAGAUUAUCACUUGGAUAUCUCUUUAUCUGUGUUAUACAAUGCUAUCUUGUACAGAAGUUUAUGCCAUGUAAUUGUUCUUUGUCAUUUUUUAAGAAAUAGUUUUAUGAUCUAAUUUAUUGCAUCAUGCUACAAGCCUACAACUAAAAUGAUAACUUCAAAUUUGCUUAAUUAUUUUUUUCGAAAGCACGUUUAUGAAACCCCAACACAACAGGGAACUGAUAAACAUGGACUAGAUGCAAACGCUUUUAAAAGAAAAGUUCUUUCAUUUGCAGAUAAGCUGAAUAGAGAUAAUUCGAGGGUUUAUCAACUAGAAGGACAAAAUAUAAAUAUAACAGAGGAUAACAAACGCACACUUUUAUCCUUGCAUAAAAAUUUGAGCAAUGCUAGAUUUACCACAUUUGUAUCACCUCUCUUAUAGAGGUCAGACUUAUCAACAUAUGUAGGUCUCAUUUCUAUUAGAGAGGUGCUACAAAUGUUGUAUGAAAAAUAUGGUAAGAGUAGCAUUUUUGUAAAAAAAAAUUCCACGACCUAAUCAUUUGAACUAUUACGUUGGAAAGGUUGGUGAUUUUCAUACUCCUAUGUUUUUUUUCUUAUGCGCUCCUCCUCUUGAUUUUGUUUGUUAGUGUUUUGAUUUAUUCAAAUCUAAGGCUACGAAAAAAGAGGACGUAGUCAUCGAAGUGUAAAAUCAAUUUUCCUUGUAAUUUGCAUGUUCGAUCUUAUUCACAAGUUUGGCAAAGACAUAAUAUAUGCUUGCAUUGAGAUUUUUUUCGGUAACUGUGUCUCUUUUGUUUUGUAAUAUUCCUUUUGUAGAAUUAAACCUCACAAACACUUGUGAGACUGCAGUGAGUUUUUCUUUUUACCAAUUAAUUUUGUAGUGGAUCUCGCAUUUCGUUAUAGUAUCAGAGCAAACUAUAAAUAAGUGUUAGAGUCAUUCGCCCUGCAAGGAAGAAUCCGUUGUUUGUUUGUUUCUUAGGACGACUAGGUGCCUGAGGAAAAUCCGUGUAUUGAUAUAAACCUAUUGUUCUUGUAGCUUUUCGAUAAAGACCCGAAAUUUCCACCUGAGCUCUGAAUAUUUUCAAUUUCAAGUUCUGGACUUCUUCUGCAACUGGGUCUUGCCAAGAAACUGGUGUAUUUGCAGAGAGGUUCAUGACUGAAGUUGCAGUGAAGGAAAGCUGAGUCUGAGUGUUAAUUGCAGAAGUUCCGAGUUGGAAAUUAGUCGGGGAAGAAGAAGGGGAGAGGGGGGGAGGGAGUUUGGGGGUUGUGGAAGAGAGAAGAGGGUGAAAAGCACAGGUGAUAAGCCAUUUUCCUUCUCUGUAUCUUGGUUUGACUCACUUUUGCCUUUUAUUCAUAAUAUUUCAAAGCAAUUGCAUGAAAAGCAAGGAAAAUAAAGAAUUGAAAUAGGGACAAGUGGGGUGCUGUGUUUCAUGAAUGAAAUGAUGUUGUGAAUGAUAUUUGACAAGAAAAGAGGCCGGAGCUCUUGGAGUGAAGCUUUAAUGGAUGACAAAUGGAUGUGAACACAGUCGACCAGAGCAAUGAGCUUGAACUCGAGUAAAAAGCGAUGUAGUAUUUUUGUGUCAAAUUUUUAUUAGUUAAAAAAAAGUUAUAAUAGUUGGAUAAAAUUUUAGUCACAGUCAAAAUUUGAGUAAUGAUAUUCAUACCAUAUUUUUUAUACCACCUCUGAUAUGGACAUCCACAUCAUUUGAAAAAUUUGCAAAACCCAAGAAAAUGAAGGAGAAAGACUCUUCGUAUAUCACAAUCAUCAUUUAAUUAACUAAUUUUUCUUAUUAUUAGUUUAUUAAAUAAUAAACUAAAUUUAAAAAUCUGAUUAAUUCAAAUGAUGUGGUUGUAUACCACCUAAAACGGUAUAAAAAUGUAGUACAAAAAUAUGGUAUGAAUAAUAUUACUUCCAAAAAAUUUAAGCCUUUGUCAUUAGUUUUUCUUAUAAAAUAAAGGUUAUCUAUUUUCUUUUUCUUUUUAUUCGUGCAGCAAGUGAGGUUAUUUUUCUACCGAUUCGAAUCCAGAGCUUGACAUUCCUUACUUUAACUUGGUGUAUUUUUAAUCAUCAUCGUCAAAUAAUGAUAAUAUGAUUCACCACCCUACUUAGUAUCAUUAAAUGAUUUUAAAUUUCAUCUAUUCACUAAACAUAUUUUGAAAUUUAAACUAAUAUAACAAUGGUAUUCACUACACAUAUUUCAAAACUUAAAAUAAUGUAACUGUAAGAAUUUGAAGGUAAAAGAGUCUUACAAUGGUGAAAGGAGAAACCUUGCAAGGGUUUAUAAAAGGUUAGACUAAUUCCCAUAUUACUAAUUAGUUUUAUGGUGGAACCCUAACUUUUCAUAGUAUCAGAGUAGGUUGGCCCACGUGUGAAGCUCAAUAGCUACAUGUGCUCCACGUCACCUAAUUCGUGUUGUUCACGUGUUUGGUUUGGAAAUUAGCCACACGUGAGAAUAUGAAGAUAAAAAAGUUUCACGUUGAUGAAAAUAGAUCAUUUGCAAAGAUUUAUAAAAAGUUAAAUUACUUCUUAUAUAAUAAACUAAUUUUAUGAUAAAAACUCAAUUUUCUUAAAUAAUAAUAAUAAAUAAAGUGAUGUACGUGCACAAAAAUAUUUCCUAUAUAAACUUUAAUAGGAUCUCACCUCAUUAAUGCAUCCUAAGCCGAUUCCUAUCACGAGUUUCAAGGUUUUGCAAAUUGCCACAUGCAUCAAAUUAUUACUUUUCUCCAUGAGUCUCGGUUUUUGUCAAAAAGUCUACAUACAUAAACCAUUUGACGUAUCAGUUUUGUCCAAACAUAGUGGUCUUUGUCCCAUUAAAUAUUGGCAAAGAGUUGUCUUAUACGGAAUAGGAUCAUCUCCCAUUUUUUUUUUGUGAAAAUUCGAAUGAUCAAUUAAUUGUAUAUUGUGUAAUUAAAAAUUAAUUUUAAUUUUAUAUUUAAAAUUAAAUAUAAAUAAUACUUAAUGAAAACUGAUCCUACAAUAUACGAUGUAUGAACAAAAUUAAUUAAUCUUCGGAUCCACACAAAGAGGAUCCAGAGAGGAUCCUCGUUCGUCUUAUACCUCCUCUUCGGAUCCUCUUUGUGGGAAUCCGAGGGAUAAAUCAAUCUUGUUUCUUCAUCGUAUAUUGUGCGAUCAAUUUUCGUUAAGUACUAUUUAUAUUCAAUUUAAAAUUUAAAAUUUAAAUUUAAAAUGAUUUUUAACCAUACGAUGUACGAUGAACGAAUAAGAUUGAUUGAUUCUCCGAAUCCCCACAAAAAGGAUACAAAGAGGAUCCUUGUCAUUAUUGCAGGUUGUAGACUGUAAUAUUAAGGGGCUAAUCGUUAGAUUCGUUAAGCAAAUGGACAAAUAGGCUCAUCUCCGUUAGUAUUUAAUAAUUAAGUUUCGUACGUAAUUAAUUAUUGUUUAGGCUUGAUCUAAAGACAGACACAUACUCCCGUAGUGCUCUCCUCACUACGAUUGCGUGAACUCCAACGCAAUAAAAUUUGAAGAUACGACAAAAAUUUUACAAAACUCGGAAUAUCAAGAGAUUAUUAUAAUUCUACUAUGAUCAGUGCACUACCAAUUAUUUAAUGUCUUUUUUCUUCUUCAAAUAAUUGGUUUUGGUCGGUGGGACGCACCCACGUGACCACUCCUCUUCCCCGUGUAGUUUCACUCUUCCCCUCACGUUUCACUCAGCUGUGCCACACUCAUUCUCUUGAAAAUUUGUGAGGGAUAGAUACCCUCUUAAACUUAAAAGUAGUGCUUCUUCCACCGGAGGUCUUACUUUUGCUCCUCCCCUUCCAUAAUUUGGGUUUUGGUCUUUCACCUUUCUAUAAGUAAAGCCAAACCCCAACACUAAUUUCUCAAUGUUCCUCCCUUUUAAAGUAUGUAAAAAUUACGGGAGCAUUUUUGUUUACUAUUAUGAUUAUAGUGUAUACUUAUUGUAUAUCUAAUCAUUUGAUACGCGGUUAACUUUCACAUUGAAUAUUACUUUUUCAAUUUAAAAAAAAAUAAUCAAAGUUAAAUGAAAAAACACGUAACAAAUAAUUAAGUGUAUAAUAAGCAUAUACCAAAAUUUAUAACGGUGAGCAAAAUGCUCCCAAAAAUUAAUCUUCACUUUCCUCUUCUUUCUUGUAUCUCAUAAGGAGAACCUACUGCUGUUUUCAAGUUUCUACACUAAAUAAAAUUCUCAAUUUCUGCGCAUGGGAUUAGUAAAAAGUAGGAGUUGUGUACAUGUAAUUAGGGUUAACGUUUUGUAAGUUAUAGCUCCUCUAAAAUGAUUUCGAAUUUCGAAGUUAUCGACCAAAAAAACCCUCCCCCCUUCACCAAAACAAUCUGGUGUAUAUAAUAUGGAGAAAGCUUCCAUAAAACGAUAGAUGUAUAUACUAUUUGUAUCAUACUUGACCAAUCCCGAAACUACUGAGCACCGGUCAACGUUAUACCGUCAAGGACCCAGAAGAGUUUCUCUCCAACCGGAAGGCUAAUCACAGUGCGACAUGUGUCGACAUCAGAAGCCAAUUAUAGCACGACAUGUGUCAACAUCAGAAGCCAAUCACAACAUAACACGUGUCAAUGUCAGAACAAAGCUAGAAACUAUUUUCUAUAAAAGGAGAUCAUUCUCCCACAAUAUUUCCUAAUGUCAUUUGUACUAAAUCAUUCCCUAGUACUCACUAAAUGAGAGCUUGAACUUAUGUAAACCCUUCACAAUUAAUGAGAACUCCUCUACUCCGUGGACGUAGCCAAUUUAGGUGAACCACGUACGUUUGCUUCCUUGUCUCUAUCCGUUUACAUACUUAUCCACACUAGUGACCGGAGCAAUCUAGCGAAGGUCACAAACUUGACACUUUCUGUUGUACCAAAGUCCUCACUGAUUUUGUGCAUUAACAUUUGGCGCCGUCUGUGGGAACGACACUUAUUCCCACUCUCUUCAGCUUUGUCAAGUUGGUUUCCACCAUUCGUACACUUUCUUUUAACCAUGCAUCUCUCUUUAACAUGGGGAGCGAAGGAAGCCACAAUACACAAAAUGACACCCAUUUUGCACCUAGUGCGAAGCAACGAAAGAAGGAAGGAAAGAGGGUUGCUCUUCAAGCUAAAGUCGAUAAGCUAGAAGUUCAGAACAACAAGAUAGCAAUGAAGGAUGAGGUCCUCCAGGAGCAAUAUGAGAAGCUCUUCGAGAUGCUCCACGAAGCUAGGCAUGCUCAAACAUAUGAACUCGUUGCCCCCAUGGAAGUUAACUAUCAACUGGGUGCCCCCCAACACAGAGGGUCACCUGCCUUCGACAUAGAUAUCCCUGAUAGGGAGCGAGCUACCCAUCGAUAUGAUAAUCAACAUGAGACUUCUCUCAAUCCAGUUGCUUCAACCCGAAGCAGGAGAAGUGGAGGAAUACUCCUCCUUGCGGAAGCGGCAGAAUGAUCGAAAGCUGUUUAUCGCAAUUGUCGGGACUUCCUGAAGCAACGUCGAGAGAAAUCCAUCCACAUAAGCUCAAAGAUCAAUGACCCAAGGGUUUAUGAGAUACGCGGUCCUCUACCACGGCCCAGGCCGACUGCCAAUCUAGGGAAGGAAUGACAAGUCCCAGAGGAAUAUGAAGGUAUAGGGGACUCGGAGGUAUUCCGACAGACUCGCCUUAGAAGUCAGUGCAGUGAGUCCAAGGAAAAACCACAUGCUCUUGUUCAAACUUUCCUACUUCCAAGAGGCAAUGAAGACUUACGGAAGAAAAUUCCAGUGGUACACGACUACACUCAAGACCCCCUUGUCCUACAGCUCAUUGAGGAAGUAAACAAAGUGAAGGCCGAACAUCAGGCCGAGAUACCUGACUAGAACCAACCCAGGCCUGGCCUUCUCACAAGGAGGAUCCUCGACACCCCCUUCAAGCGAAGACAAAACAAAAGCUUGGUUUACAACUCUAUGCUGGAAGGGAGGACCCGAUUAAACACCUUAACCUCUUUGAGUCCACCAUGGCAUAUCAGAUGCACACCGACGAAGAGCGAUGUCUUCUCUUCCCUUCCACCCUCUUUGGCGGAGCUUUAAACUGGUAUUAUUGUCUUCCACCCGAGACAGUAGACUUAUUUGAGGAACUAAGGAAACUAUUUGUCUCUCAACACAUCUUCCAGACCAAUCGCUUACAUUCUGCAUAUAAGUUGUACACUAUUCACCAGAAGCCAGACAAGUCACUACGAGAGUAUGUCGGUCGCUUCAUCCAUGAGUAUUCUCACUGCGCUGAGGCAGAUGACAAAAUCGCCCUCAAAGCCUUCACGACAGGCCUACGUGAUUGUUUCUUCAAGCACAUGAUCAAUUCCAACACUUGGAAGACUUACUCUGAGGUGAUGACACAAGCUUACAACCAUGCCUCUGCCGAAGCAAGGACAUACCAAGGGAACCCCCAUAUGGUUAACCCCUAUCAACAAGUGGGAAGUGGAAGUCAAGUUCUACCAAGUGAAGAGAUCUUGGCCAUUUAGACACCCAUUGCAUCAUCUCUUGCCUCAUUUAGCUACUCGCUAAGUCACCAAACAUAUUUGUCUCUUGGUAAGAGGAAGGAUUUUUACUCUCACCAAGCCCAUUACAACAAGAGGGAUAAAAGUUUAUAUCAAGACAACUAGGGGUGAACGUACCGUCGACUAUUAUGACUAUAGGGCCAAGCCUUACUCUUUCAAAGUGGAGGACUAGGUACUGAAGGAAAUGCUAUUAUAAGAAGGCAUACACAUUACAAAUGUUUUGACUCUUAACUGCCUGAGAUCUUUUGUCUCACAAGCCAUUCGACAAAUAUUUAAAGAAGGUAUGUUAGAGAUACAGGUAUUUGGUGACGUCACGUGUCGAUUCUGGACGUAUGUUGGGAUCAGGGCGUGACAGAAAAGCUCACGGUACUGUUCAUUUUAACGAAAAACCAUAUUUUUACACUAAAAAGUCAAUCAUGGUAUUAUUCACUUUAUCGUUAAAACUCAAAGUUUUCGAACCAUUUUCAUUAGUUUUCCUUAUAAAGAAUUGGCAGCGGUGUUGAGCUACUUGGAGUCUAGAAUCUGGCAAGAAACAAGAAUUGCACUUUGGUAGAUUGAUGCAAAAUUAUUAUGAACGAUAAAUAUGUCAUACUUGGUGGAAUCGUUGGAAGAGUAUUAAUGGAAAUGAAUAACUAUAAUCAUUUGUUGGAAUCUUAAAUUGGAAAGUAUGAGAUUUAUAGAAACAUGGAACUAAAAGUAGUUGAGUCUACGCUCGGGGCACCUAGAUCUAUGUUCUGCUCAAAGUCACCAAAUAAGGGAGCGAAACCCUUUCAGUUAAAAUCAGAUAAAAUGAUCAAAUUGAGUUUUGAAUUCGUGGACUGAAAAAUGACCAUUGAAAAAAGAAAUAGAGUUAUUUGAUGAUUGGGUUAACAUAAUAGAAUAAAGAGAAAACAUUGCAUUCAUGCUUUAUUAUUGCUUCUGCUGAAUUAAAUGCAUUUUGAUUUUACCCUAUUAAGCUAGUAGCUCACCCAUGACUAGUGUUAAAUUAGAGACUUAAAAAGCAGUUGGUUUUAUGGAUGUUUUAAAAAGUAGUUGGUUUUACAGAGGGUUUUUUUUUUUUAAUUUGUUUUUUAACAAACAUUAUUAUUUACAGUUAUAUUAAGGAGAUGAGGUGAACUAAGUUUCACAAUGGGUUAGUGAUAAUGUAGUUCAAAUUCACCUUUAACGAGAAUCGGACCAAAGACGACUCACUAAUAAGUAAAGAAAAAUAUCACUAAACUGUAGUACUAAGUAACGAGUUAAUAGGACCUCACCUCGUUAAAUAUUGUCGGCGAGCAAAAUACAACCUACGCGGUUUUAGUUUCACGGUACACAAAAUGCCAAAAGUAUUGGUCUUUCUUUUUUCUAAUCAAACAAAUAGUAUUGGUCUUUGUCUCGUGCCUUAGAUUAUUUCCAAUUUUCAUAAAUUAUAAUCGGUCCUUCUUUUUAAAUCAAACAAAAAGUAAUGGUCUUCUACCAAAAAACAAAAAGUAAUGGUCUUUGUCUCAUGCCUUCCAUUAUUGUCCAAUUUUUUAAUCAAACAAUGGUAUCGGUCUUUGUCUCAUGCCUUCAAUUAUUUUCCAAUUUUCAUAAAUUAUAAUCUUCAUCUUUUUCUCCGUCUCAUACUUGAUAUUUUCAUCGAGUUUAUUGACACAGGAGUCCAACAAUACCGUAAGUUAUAGCUUAAUGCGAUUGAAGCAUAUCAUUGCUACUCUUUUGUGAGCUCUCAUAUGCCCCAGAGUAUGUUCUUCCAAUUGUUUCUAAUUCCAAAUUGAAUUUCUCUAAUUUUACUUGUUUCUCCGUUGGAUCGAAUGAGAAUAGAUAAGAGCGAGCUCCAAUCCCUUCGUCUCAUAUUUGAUAUUUUAUUUUCAUUGACAAAGGAGGAGACCAACAAUAACGACUCAGAGCAACUGAAGCAUAUCAUUGCAACUCUUUUGUGAGCUUCCACAUGCCCCAGGGUAUGUUAUUCUGCACUCUUACUACCAUAUCUAAUAUCCUUCUGGAAAUUUUCUGAAAGAAAGUAAGGGCUUAUGAGCUACAUCUGACUUUUGUUUCACUUUUUCUUCUUCUUAUUAUAUAUGUAAUUCAGAUUCUGAGCACUCAUCAUUAAACACAAGACUUCAAAUUCGAUUUCUUCCUCAACAAUUACAUAUGUUGGAAAAAUAAAAUGCAAAAUAAAAGUUAUCUAUUUUCUGUGUAGACGGGUCUAGGCGGCUGCCUUAGUAGGUCUAGGCGUCAUUUCUUAAUUUUCAAAUUCCUAGGCAUUAAUUGGGGCGGUGGCCGACUGUCGAGCGCCACUGGGAUUUUUAGAACAGUGGUUAACGUGUUGACCCAAGACUUGUUAUUUUCGAAUCGUUCAAUGUCUGAUUAACGGGUCGUGCAAAAAAUUGUGUAGGAUUUGUGUAGAGUCCAAUCUACUAGACCCAAAACAUUCCGUUCUUUUCGACGUGUGUACUUUCAUUUAACAACAAUUUUGUGGUACUUGUCAACUGCCACCUACAAAGAAUUGAAACUUUUGGUUAUCCUUAAACACUGACUAAAAUCCAUGACAUUUGGUGGAAGAAUUAGAUUGAAUGAGUUCGAAAGUUUCAAUCAUAGAUUUUUGUUCUUGAACCAAAUUCUUUAAUUCUGUGUUCUUGCAAAAAAGACUCGAGAAGUAGUUUUCGAACUUUUGAAGUUUGGCCCUUUGUUAAACUGAAUGAAAGUUAAGAACAGAAAUUUAAAUUUCUUGAGUACCUUAUUUAGAUCUUGAUUUCUUUUGGCUUGUGGUUUCGUUUUGAAAACUAAGCACAUAGUUUGUAAAAUACAAAAAUUUAUCCAUUGCAUUCUUUUUUUCUUUUCCUGUUGUUUUGAAACUUGUCUAUUCUGCAGACAGAUUGGAUAACAAGUAUCGAAGGCCAAAAUGGAGUCAGCUGCAUCACUAUUGAUUGGGAAAAUUGCGGCCAUUCUUGAGAACGAAGCAUCUUCCAUAGCGGCAGUCCGUGAUGAAGUUGAUGAGCUUAAGCUGGAGCUCAUAAGCAUGAAAUCUUUCUUAAUAGAUGCUGAAGGCAAGGAACCACAAACAGAAGGAGAGAAAAACGUGGGUUACAAGCGUCAGAGAUUUGACCUGCGAUGCUGAAAAUGUCAUUGAUGAGUUCCUGUAUCACAUAUAUGACAAGCAAAGUGCGACUCCAUUUGCAAAAUUGCUCCACAGAACCAUUUACUUUCCAAAGAAUCUUUGGCAUCGGCAUCGAAUAGCCAAAAAAUUACAGAAAAUCACAAAAAAGAUCAAAGCCAUUCCAGAGAGGAAUGAGAGAUAUGUGUGUCUCUACAAUAGAAGGAACAAGUUCGGAUAGUGUUCCCAGAUGGGUGAAGAACAAAGCCAAGUCUUCUCUUUAUAUUAUGGAAGACGAACUAAUCGGGAUUGAAGACAAGAAGCAAACGUUAAUGGGGUUAUUGAUGAAUGGAGAGGAAAAUGAAAUGGUUGUGUCUGUGGUCGGGAUGGGAGGAUCAGGCAAGACAACUCUUGUUGCCAAUACCUUCAACAACGAAAAUGUAAAGUGGCAUUUUGACUGUGUUGUGCUAGGAUAGCACAAAACCUUAUGGAACAAACUCUUGAUAACCCACAGGAAAUAUAUCAAAUGAAAUGCAAGAACAAAAUAUUAAAGACACCAAGAUUUUAACGAGGUUCCUCAACAGUCAGUAUAACUGGAGUACGUCCUCGGAGCAGUAGGAGCUCACCCAAUAAUCCACUAUCAACCAAAUGGGAGUUUACAAAGUGUUGGCAAUCUCACAACCCAAAUAACCCAAUACACCCAAUAGCUCUCACACACCACAGAAACAAAUAGAGAAAGCAAUAUAAUGAAUAAUUUCUUCUCUAUACAUGUAGCUCAAAGCUAUUACAACAAUAACUAUGAUGGAUGAUUGCUAACCAAAAAGAAGAGCACCUUCUUCUUCUUUUCUGCUCUUAGUUUUCUGCUCUCUGCAGCUCUCUUUGCUCUCUCAAAGAUGGGCUACUAAAACAGAAAAAUGGUGCACACUUCCUCUAUCAUUCUCACUUCCGUAUCCUCACUUCAUCAAUACAAAAGCACCCAAUAAAAAAUUCAAAAACAUCAUCAUGACCAUCAAUUUUUCAUUUCAACAAACAUAAUCAUGAUGCCUCCUCAUCAUGAUGUCUUUCACCUUUUUUUAUUUUGAUUUGUUUAUUAGCUGAAAGUUGUUUUGUUUUGUUGUCCACUUGGCCACUUGGCCACAAUUCAACAGACUGUUAUGCAUGGAUCACUGUUUCUCAAACUUUUGUGAUCGAGGACUUAUUCAAAAAUCUGAUCAAGCAAUUCCACCAAGGAAGAAAGGAAGAGGUGACUGCACAAUUGGAUUCCAUGAGUUACAAAGAAUUGUUAGAGAUGUUGUCGACAUACUUGAAGUCUAAAAGGUACCUAGUUGUAUUGGAUGAUGUGUGGGACAUUAAACUUUGGCAAGAAAUAAGGAUACCACUUCUUAAUAGACAUCAUGGAAGUCGAAUCAUGCUUACAACUCGAAAGAAAGACAUAGCAUUCUAUUCUUUUGAAGUUGAAAGUUGUCCUAUUGAAAUUGAACCUUGGGAAAACAAUGAAGCUUGGGAGCUCUUUAGCAAGAAAGCAUUCUCAACUUACGAUAAUAAAUCUUGUCCACCAGAGCUUGAAUCCUUAGCAUGGAAACUUGUGGAUAAGUGUGAAGGCCUACCUCUGGCAGUGGUAACUUUAGGUGGUCUAA